This 489-nucleotide ribosomal RNA is filed under the name uncultured Paenibacillus sp. Its description in RNAcentral is "bacterial SSU rRNA". It matches the Rfam family "Bacterial small subunit ribosomal RNA", at positions 40 to 507 of the family's 1533-position model. The record is from RNAcentral. Lineage: Bacteria; Bacillati; Bacillota; Bacilli; Caryophanales; Paenibacillaceae.
CGGCGUGCCUAAUACAUGCAAGUCGAGCGGAGCUAGUCUUUUCUUCGGGAAAGAAUGAUGCUUAGCGGCGGACGGGUGAGUAACACGUAGGUAACCUGCCCAUAAGACUGGGAUAACAUUCGGAACGGAUGCUAAUACCAGAUAAUCAAAUUUCUCGCAUGAGAGAUUUGGGAAAGGCGGAGCAAUCUGUCACUUAUGGAUGGACCUGCGGUGCAUUAGCUAGUUGGUGAGGUAACGGCUCACCAAGGCGACGAUGCAUAGCCGACCUGAGAGGGUGAUCGGCCACACUGGGACUGAGACACGGCCCAGACUCCUACGGGAGGCAGCAGUAGGGAAUCUUCCACAAUGGACGAAAGUCUGAUGGAGCAACGCCGCGUGAGUGAUGAAGGCCUUCGGGUCGUAAAGCUCUGUUGCCAGGGAAGAACGCUCAGGAGAGUAACUGCUCCUGAGGUGACGGUACCUGAGAAGAAAGCCCCGGCUAACUACGUG